RNAcentral lists this ribosomal RNA (1241 nucleotides) under metagenome. RNAcentral's name for it is "bacterial LSU rRNA". It matches the Rfam family "Bacterial large subunit ribosomal RNA", at positions 1564 to 2815 of the family's 2925-position model. The record is from RNAcentral.
UGAAUACGAGAUGCUACGGCGUUGAAGCAGUGUAUGUCAGACUUCCAAGAAAAGCUCGCAAUGUCAUAAAUAAAGAAUGCCUGUACCAUAACCGACACAGGUGGGUAGGUAGAGUAUACUAGGGGCGCGAGAUAACUCUCUCUAAGGAACUCGGCAAAAUAACUCCGUAACUUCGGGAGAAGGAGUGCCUUCUUUAAGAAGGUUGCAAUAACAAGAUCCAAGCAACUGUUUAUCAAAAACACAGGUCUCCGCUAAGUCGUAAGACGAUGUAUGGGGGCUGACGCCUGCCCAGUGCCAGAAGGUUAAAGAAAUUGGUUAGCAUUUGCGAAGCUGAUGACUGAAGCCCUGGUGAACGGCGGCCGUAACGAUAACGGUCCUAAGGUAGCGAAAUUCCUUGUCGGGUAAGUUCCGACCCGCACGAAAGGCGUAAUGAUUUGGAUACUGUCUCGGAGAGGGACUCGGUGAAAUAGACUUGUCUGUGAAGAUGCGGACUACCUGCACCAGGACAGAAAGACCCUAUGAAGCUUUACUGUAACUUGAAAUUGAAAUUGGACUUUAUUUGCGCAGCAUAGGUGGAAGGCGUUGAGACUAAUCCUGCGGGAUUGGUGGAGCCAUCAGUGAGAUACCACUCCUAUAAUGUUAGAUUUCUAACUUUGAAUCAUGAUCUGGUCAAAGAACAGUUUCAGGCGGGCAGUUUGACUGGGGCGGUCGCCUCCCAAAUGGUAACGGAGGCGUACAAAGGUUUCCUCUGAACGGGUAGAAAUCGUAUCUAGAGUGUAAAGGCAUAAGGAAGCUUGACUGUGAGACCUACAAGUCGAGCAGGGACGAAAGUCGGUCUUAGUGAUCUGACGGUGCUGAGUGGAAAGGCCGUCACUCAACGGAUAAAAGUUACUCUAGGAUAACAGGCUGAUCUCCCCCAAGAGUUCACAUCGACGGGGAGGUUUGGCACCUCGAUGUCGGCUCAUCGCAUCCUGGGGCGGUAGUACGUCCCAAGGGUUGGGCUGUUCGCCCAUGAAAGCGGUACGCGAGCUGGGUUCAGAACGUCGUGAGACAGUUCGGUCCAUAUCCGGUGUAGGCGUUAGAAUAUUGAGAGGAGCCUUCUUUAGUACGAGAGGACCGAGAAGGACAUACCUCUGGUGUACCAGUUAUCGUGCCAACGGUAAACGCUGGGUAGCUAUGUAUGGAGAGGAUAACCGCUGAAAGCAUCUAAGUGGGAAGCCCACCUCAAGAUGAGUAUUCUC